RNAcentral lists this ribosomal RNA (253 nucleotides) under uncultured bacterium. Its description in RNAcentral is "partial 16S ribosomal RNA". It matches the Rfam family "Bacterial small subunit ribosomal RNA", at positions 524 to 776 of the family's 1533-position model. The record is from RNAcentral.
UACGGGGGGUGCAAGCGUUAAUCGGAAUUACUGGGCGUAAAGGGUGCGUAGGUGGUUGAGUAAGAUAUCUGUGAAAUCCCCGGGCUUAACCUGGGCAGGUCAGAUAUAACUGCUUGACUCGAGUAUAGGAGAGGGUAGUGGAAUUUCCGGUGUAGCGGUGAAAUGCGCAGAUAUCGGGAAGAACACCCGUGGCGAAGGCGGCUCUCUGGGACGGUACUGACGCUGAGACGCGAAAGCGUGGGGAGCGAACAGG